RNAcentral lists this long non-coding RNA (282 nucleotides) under Vigna radiata. RNAcentral describes it as "long non-coding RNA (VRAD_LNC010267)". Lineage: Eukaryota; Viridiplantae; Streptophyta; Magnoliopsida; Fabales; Fabaceae. The record is from RNAcentral.
GAAAAGCUUGAGUUGAGGUUCGGGCAGGAGGAAAAAGAGGACACGUGUGAGUGAUUGUGAAACGUGUGGCUGAUGUUACAAUCUGAAUCGCAAUAUCUCUCUGUCUGGGGUCUCAGUCUCGGUCACUUCAUUCACAUGUGGUGUUUGCACCACCGUUCAUUCCAUCGCUUCUACACACACAAUCUUCCCUAACCGUCAGAUCAAUCCACUGGUGGUUCUUACAUCUUUCUCAUACCCAAGGCCCAACAACAAACACUAACCAUGCAUCUACACGCUUCCACU